GUAGGUGAACCUGCGGAAGGAUCAUUACCAAUAUAAAAUGUCGCUCACGGGACCUCCCUGAAUCAAUCGCCGGAUGUCAUCACCCUUAAGUUACUUAGUCUUGAUGCAUCCUCCCCGAGGCGAGGGUUCGGUGGAAGGUACCGGAGUUCAUAUUAUUCAAACACUUGUAUACUUAUCCCACUUCUUCCGUGAGCGCAAGUUCACGGACAUACACAUAACAUUCUGUUUUUACAUUCAUGUCUGAUAAAAU
Molecule: unclassified non-coding RNA, 250 nt
Filed under: plant metagenome
Description: partial contains small subunit ribosomal RNA, internal transcribed spacer 1, and 5.8S ribosomal RNA
Source: RNAcentral